GAUGAACGCUGGCGGCGUGCCUAAUACAUGCAAGUCGAGCGAACGGACGAGAAGCUUGCUUCUCUGAUGUUAGCGGCGGACGGGUGAGUAACACGUGGAUAACCUACCUAUAAGACUGGGAUAACUUCGGGAAACCGGAGCUAAUACCGGAUAAUAUUUUGAACCGCAUGGUUCAAAAGUGAAAGACGGUCUUGCUGUCACUUCUAGAUGGAUCCGCGCUGCAUUAGCUAGUUGGUAAGGUAACGGCUUACCAAGGCAACGAUGCAUAGCCGACCUGAGAGGGUGAUCGGCCACCCGGGAACUGAGACACGGUCCAGACGCCUACGGGAGGCAGCAGUAGGGAAUCUGCCGCAAUGGGCGAAAGCAUGACGGAGCAAGGCCGCGUGAGUGAUGAAGGUCUUCGGAUCGUAAAAAUCUGUUAUGAGGGAAGAACAUAUGUGUAAGUAACUGUGCACAUCUUGACGGUACCUAAUCAGAAAGCAACGGCUAACUACGUG
Molecule: ribosomal RNA, 497 nt
Filed under: uncultured bacterium
Lineage: Bacteria
Description: partial 16S ribosomal RNA
Rfam family: Bacterial small subunit ribosomal RNA
Source: RNAcentral